RNAcentral lists this long non-coding RNA (937 nucleotides) under Marmota monax (woodchuck). Lineage: Eukaryota; Metazoa; Chordata; Mammalia; Rodentia; Sciuridae. The record is from RNAcentral.
GCUGAGGAUCGAACCACCCAGGGCCUCAUACGUGCCAGGCGAGCGCUCUAUCAUGAGCUACAGCCCAGCCCCCACUUUACAUAUUCUGUGCUUCUGAGCAGCAUGUUGGGAAGGCCAGAAGGCCGAUCUCUAACCAGGUUCGAUUUCAGGUAUAAUGACAUAUGUGCUAUCAUCUAUUCUCCUUCUUACACAUUAAUUAGUCAAACGGUGCCUUGAAAUGGCAUCUACUGCGGCAUCUCUUUGGGUGAAGAAGGAGGUGAACCAAGGUGGAUCUUUCUGGAAGACUCAGGAUGAUGGUGUCCCCACCGACUAAGGGGCGGGCACAUUAGAGGUGGCCUCUCUGUGGGUCGGGGUUCUUGCUGGGACAGGCCCUGUGACUGCCGUAUGUAUACACCCAGGAGAUAGGUGUUGACAGUCGGCUGUGCUGGGUGCUGCGGAUGAGUAAGACCAGCCAGGACCAGGAAACUUAUAAUCUAACAAGGAAAUAGCUAUAAAAUCAGGUAGUUUGUGACCUGUUUUAGGAGCAGUGACGAAGGCACUGGGAAGGUCAAGGGGCAGGGGUCCCUCCUGGCUGGGAGGACGGGGGUGCUUUGUGGACGAGCUGGCGUCGGAGCAGGGGCAGCAGGGCACUAAGCCUGAGGGACCCACAAAGCCAGGUGGUGGUUGGUGGGGUCAGAGAGGCCUCAGGCCAGGCAGGAGUUCAUUAGGUGCAGAGGGGACACUGGAGGACAUUACAGGUCAAGAGCCAGCCCCAAAGUCAGCACAGAGGUGUCACAGCGGACCCCUGGGUAGACCUGGCAAGGCGGCUUCAGGAGAGAACCGGGGCAGGUUUUAGACUUGAACCUCAGACGUGGGUUUGCAGGCAGUGACAGGUCGUAAAGACUGCUGAGCAGAGCGGUGACAUCUGCAAAAGGGCCCCCAACCUGGUGGUGAUGGA